RNAcentral lists this transfer RNA (73 nucleotides) under Nephila pilipes (giant wood spider). It matches the Rfam family "tRNA". From Rfam's summary of the family: Transfer RNA (tRNA) molecules are approximately 80 nucleotides in length. Their secondary structure includes four short double-helical elements and three loops (D, anti-codon, and T loops). Further hydrogen bonds mediate the characteristic L-shaped molecular structure. tRNAs have two regions of fundamental functional importance: the anti-codon, which is responsible for specific mRNA codon recognition, and the 3' end, to which the tRNAs corresponding amino acid is attached (by aminoacyl-tRNA synthetases). tRNAs cope with the degeneracy of the genetic code in two manners: having more than one tRNA (with a specific anti-codon) for a particular amino acid; and 'wobble' base-pairing, i.e. permitting non-standard base-pairing at the 3rd anti-codon position. The record is from Rfam by way of RNAcentral. Lineage: Eukaryota; Metazoa; Arthropoda; Arachnida; Araneae; Nephilidae.
ACGCUCAUGGCCUAACGGAUAAGGCAUCGGUCUCCUAAACCGGGAAUUGCGGGUUCGAAUCCCGCCGAGGGUG